Molecule: ribosomal RNA, 253 nt
Filed under: uncultured bacterium
Lineage: Bacteria
Description: partial 16S ribosomal RNA
Rfam family: Bacterial small subunit ribosomal RNA
Source: RNAcentral
UACGUAGGUGACCAGCGUUGUCCGGAUUUACUGGGCGUAAAGAGCGCGCAGGCGGUCGUUCAAGUCGAGUGUGAAAGCCCCCGGCUCAACUGGGGAGGGUCAUUCGAUACUGAUCGACUUGAAGGCAGGAGAGGGAAGUGGAAUUCCCGGUGUAGUGGUGAAAUGCGUAGAUAUUGGGAGGAACACCAGUGGCGAAGGCGGCUCACUGGACCGGAACUGACGCUGAGGCGCGAAAGCGUGGGGAGCAAACGGG